CCGUUCCUGGAACUUAACAUGGGACAUAGACAUUUCAACAGAAACGGGACUGCUUUGGUUCAGAUCAUGGGAAUUGAUGAACAAGUAGUAAUGAAAUGAAUGAUCAGGAUGGACCAAUGGCUGGGACAGCUUUGAAGGCAGAUGUGUGUAGAAAGGGAGUUUCAUUGGCACUGAAGGGGGAAGUGAUGCACGACCCAGUGAUGAUGUUUGAUCAUGGAUGAUCACGUCCUAGGCUUCCUCUACAUCCUGGGGACACACGCAAAUUGUUAGUAGAGAAGGGAGAAGGCCGGAC
Molecule: long non-coding RNA, 292 nt
Filed under: Brassica napus (rape)
Lineage: Eukaryota; Viridiplantae; Streptophyta; Magnoliopsida; Brassicales; Brassicaceae
Description: long non-coding RNA (BNAP_LNC000546)
Source: RNAcentral